GACGAACGCUGGCGGCGUGCUUAACACAUGCAAGUCGAACGGAAAGGCCCUGCUUUCGUGGGGUGCUCGAGUGGCGAACGGGUGAGUAACACGUGAGUAACCUGCCCUUGACUUUGGGAUAACUUCAGGAAACUGGGGCUAAUACCGGAUAGGAGCUCCUGCUGCAUGGUGGGGGUUGGAAAGUUUCGGCGGUUGGGGAUGGACUCGCGGCUUAUCAGCUUGUUGGUGGGGUAGUGGCUUACCAAGGCUUUGACGGGUAGCCGGCCUGAGAGGGUGACCGGCCACAUUGGGACUGAGAUACGGCCCAGACUCCUACGGGAGGCAGCAGUGGGGAAUAUUGCACAAUGGGCGGAAGCCUGAUGCAGCAACGCCGCGUGCGGGAUGACGGCCUUCGGGUUGUGAACCGCUUUCGCCUGUGACGAAGCGUGAGUGACGGUAAUGGGUAAAGAAGCACCGGCUAACUACGUG
This 468-nucleotide ribosomal RNA is filed under the name uncultured bacterium. RNAcentral's name for it is "partial 16S ribosomal RNA". It matches the Rfam family "Bacterial small subunit ribosomal RNA", at positions 28 to 507 of the family's 1533-position model. The record is from RNAcentral.